This is a long non-coding RNA of Zea mays, 599 nucleotides long. RefSeq lists it as uncharacterized. The transcript is spliced from 2 exons. NCBI's taxonomy places the organism in Eukaryota, Viridiplantae, Streptophyta, Magnoliopsida, Poales, Poaceae. The record is from RefSeq and is a predicted model, not a curated record.
GCCCAUACCUCGAACGCCGCCAUGCCCUGGAGUUGAGAGAAACAGAGAGCACCGCGCGCGAGAGAGGAAGAAGUGAAGUCGUCGACGUCGCGUCUCGUCCACACCCUCGUUCAAGGAUCCGCUGGUGGUCAAGAAGAUUCGUCGGGGACCACUAAAGCCAUUCAAGGCUUAAGCCUAGCGGGCGGAGAACUUGGCGGCAUUCCUCGAUUUGAAGUUUUGUGCGUGGGGUUGAAGAUUGGCUGUCUUUGGCGAUGUCCGCCAUCGUAGCAUCGGGCGGCGCCGCCAAGCUCUCGGCAUGUGCGGGGGAAUGGUCGGGGAUACCGUUGAUAGCAUCAGGAGCGAUGGAGAUUUGAUCACCAUGUACCGAAUCAGUCUGAUCAAUCUGUACCAUAGAUAUUUCAAUGAAUGCACGGGAAUAGAUCCAAGGUGUUUUAAAUCCUAGCCAUCGAUCGUGGAUCAGAUGUGUCACACCCGAUUUUAGGAGCAAAACGAAUGCAUAGCAUAUGUGUGCUAGGAUCCAUUUUCCACACAUAUGUUGACGUCACAAGUGUAAUAUAUCAAAAGACAAUGUAAUAAAGGCGUAAAAGAGAGUAUAAUAA